Podarcis raffonei (Aeolian wall lizard) is the source of this 354-nucleotide long non-coding RNA. RefSeq lists it as uncharacterized. The record is from RefSeq and is a predicted model, not a curated record. Lineage: Eukaryota; Metazoa; Chordata; Lepidosauria; Squamata; Lacertidae. The transcript has 2 exons.
GCCGGGCGCUCUGCUUUCAGGGCGCCCGACGCUCCGGGAAGCAGGCUGCUAUCCGCAGCCUAGACACGGCUAGCGGAGCGCUAAUCCCGAAGCUUGGGGCGUGCGGAGCUCAGCGCGCCCCAAGCUUCUGGGUGCCGGCAAGCGCUCCGCUAGCCGUGGGAGAGCUGGGUCUCCCACGGCUAGCGGAUAGCUUCCUGAAGCCUGGAGAGCGAGAGGGGUCGGUGCGCACCGACCCCUCUCACUUUCCAGGCUUCAGCGAAAGCCUGCAUUCGCUCCAUAGGACGCACACACAUUUUCCCUUGCUUUUUAGGAGGGAAAAAGUGUGUCCUAUGGUGCGAAAAAUACGGUACAUUG